RNAcentral lists this ribosomal RNA (250 nucleotides) under uncultured bacterium. RNAcentral's name for it is "partial 16S ribosomal RNA". It matches the Rfam family "Bacterial small subunit ribosomal RNA", at positions 355 to 619 of the family's 1533-position model. The record is from RNAcentral.
UGGGGAAUAUUGCACAAUGGGCGAAAGCCUGAUGCAGCAACGCCGCGUGAGCGAUGAAGGCCUUUGGGUCGUAAAGCUCUGUCCUUGGGGAAGAAAAAAAUGACGGUACCCAAGGAGGAAGCCCCGGCUAACUACGUGCCAGCAGCCGCGGUAAUACGUAGGGGGCAAGCGUUAUCCGGAAUUAUUGGGCGUAAAGAGUACGUAGGUGGUCUUUUAAGCGCAGGGUUUAAGGCAAUGGCUUAACCAUUGU